RNAcentral lists this small RNA (6658 nucleotides) under Arabidopsis thaliana (thale cress). Its description in RNAcentral is "ATSL203680". The stretch from base 6366 to 6472 matches the Rfam family "Plant small nucleolar RNA R71". Lineage: Eukaryota; Viridiplantae; Streptophyta; Magnoliopsida; Brassicales; Brassicaceae. The record is from RNAcentral.
AAUGAAUCAAGAUAUGCAUCGCUAGUGAACUCAUUUGGCUAAUGACAGGUUAUGAGACAAAGAUGGUCCCUUUUUAGUGGUUCAGAUUUUAAUAGCAGGGGACUCUCAAUAAAAAGGACUUAGCUUUAGAAGAAUGCUAAAGGUAAGUGCCAACCUAUGCAUACAAGAAUAGCACCCCAUCUACCCAAUGACAUAAACCGUGAAUAACAAGUAGAUAGUCCUAUCUCUAAACCCAAUGAUGAUCCUAAGUCUACCCUUUUGCACUAAAGGCAUAUUUCGAUUUUUUCUUGGAUCAACGUUUCCUUUUCUUUUCUUUGGCUCUUGUUCUUAAGGAGAAGCUUUUCUUAAACUCUAUGAGUCUAGUCUAGUGACUUGGGUUUUUCUUAAACUCUUAUGGCUCUUAUCAUUUUUUUUCUUUUUUUUCUUUUUUUUUUUUUUUUUUUUUUUAUUGCCAUCUAUUUCUUUAGAACAUAUCUUAACAAUUCUAUGCUUCCCAAACAUUCACUAGACCACAAUAUGAUUUUCAGCUUCCUUCUCCUAAAGACUCUAACCUAUUUUUUUCUUUCUUUUUCUUUUCACACUCAAUCUCAAUCCCCAAAUAAGUUCCCACCUAGUCCUACCAAGUCCGAAAACGCGGAUUGGAACUACAUGAGAUACUACUCUUGUCGGCUCAAACCUAACACGUUCUACCAAGCUCAAUCCUGAAAAUAGGCCUCACAUGCUCUCACAAAAUAACAUGGCUUGAAAGAAGGGUUGGUUAAGGGUGGGGGAACUACUCCAAUAAUAGAAGCAGCUACUUGGAUUAACAAGAGUGGUGAAUAAGUGAAAGAAAAUCCAAAUAUGUAUUCUAUCCACGAGUUCAAAAACGAUGCAAACAUGAUAAUUAUAAGUCAGAUUCAAGUUCAAAUUGACAGGGAAAGGUGUCAUGACAUGCAUCGAGUGGUUUCUAUAGAACAUGGUGCGGUUUUACUUCAAAGUCAUUCAAAUGCCUCAGAGAACUAAUAACUCAUUUUAGUGAAUCAUCAUGCUUACAAGGCUAUUUCCUCAUUAUCCCCUAUGCAUAUGCAACAAUCCUAUAUGAAACACUCUAGACUUGAUUCUAAAUGUAAUGCAACUAAAUGAUCACUCUGUUUUUGUGGAAUUCAUUUUCAAAAAUUUUCAAAUUUUUUUGUUUUUUUCUAUGACUUAGAUGAUAUGCAGACUCAAAUGAUAUUCACAAAAAACAAGUCAAAUACGUCUUGAACCCUCCCCCAAACUUAAAUUAUGCAGUCCCUUGUGUAAUCAAAAUUUGUGAAAGAAUUCAAGAUAAACACAGAAACAAAAACAAAAGCGAUAUUUACAAAGAGUUUUGGUGUGUUACCUCAGUAGAAUGUCCUGGAGAUGUAGUCAUUCAUAUCUGCUUGAGUGUACUCAGCAGGCAUGACCGGUUCUUGAUGUGGCUCCGUCAUCUCCUCGUCAUUGUGCUCGAUCGCAACCCCAGCAGGUUGUUCAGCACGACGCUCACGUGUUCUCCGCCCCGACAUUAUCCGACCCUUGCUUGAUGAUCGAACCAUCCUAGCGCUCUUCCGCCUCUUGUGCUCCCUGACCUCGUGAGACGAGUGUCGUGCGGGUUCUUGCGGGACAGCGCGUUCUCUCUGUUGAUAAGCAGAUUGCCUUGGCGGGGCAAUGUCAUGACGCCUGGAUGGCAUGUCUUCUGGCGGGUUGUCCCUGGUGAUCGCACUGGUGGAUGUGGUGCAACUGAUUGCCUUCUGCAUGUUGUCAAUGGCCUUGACACACUUAUGGAUGAUCUUGUCUUGAAACUUGCACCACCUUUGGGUUAGAUUGAGCUUCCGGUGUGCUUCAGCGAGACUCUUGCUUUCUCGUGAAGGGGGCUUGUGUUCUUCAAAGUGGUAGCGGCUCGUGUCAUAGUUCUCCCAAUUGGUCUCCUCAUUGUCACUCUGACCUUCUACUUCUUCAGCAUUUCGGGACGCGGAUCCUCCAAUCACAGCAUGGAGGAUUUCUUGUGGUGGCGAGAAGUCGAUGUUGUCUCUCACCGUGAUGGUUGUCAUUUCACUGAAUGGGAGAAGAAAAGUUGCUUCGCCUGUUGACGGGUGAUCAAACUUGAAAGCGUACCUCCCGUCAUAGACCUUAUGUUCGAUCACAUGGGCAAGCUUGAGAUGGGCGAUAUCCAUCCAACGUGGUUGGAUUGGAUCCGGUCGCAGCGGGACGUCGCACGAUAGGAGAAUUGGUGUGACCACUCCUCCAAUGCAAAGGGCUCCUUUCGCGUUCUUUUUGUCAUUGGCCAUUGCCCACCCUCUGUAGCUGGAUAAGUGAUUGAGAAGAUACAUUGACGGUGGUGUGUCAUUGGUAUCUCCCUUCAUCGUUUUCCCGUCCUUGGUGUAACGGAGGAAACUUAGCAGCGCCAGGUCUAACGUCUCCAUGUCUUGGUUCGUCACAGUGGCAGAUAUCUCCCUAGCGUAAGGGACAUUGGCCAUGGCUCUCUGGAAAUAGCGAAUGGCGGGAUUGCAGAUGGAGUUGCUCUUGGAUCUUGCGGAGUUGAAGCUGGUGGUGUCUCCGAUUGUGUUCCUCAAAGAUUUCAAUUCCUCUCGGGCAAACUUCGGUUUCAUUCCCGUGCCACUGGGAAACCCAAACAUGGAUUCCAGCGUCUUGAUCGCCAUGAUAUAGUCGCGGUCGUCGAUGGUGAAGCUUAAGUAACCAAGCCCUUCUUCUCUUAACUCAACAGCUGACAAUCCCUCAAACAAUUCCACUUGAAGUGAUGAAAGGAAUUGAAGUGUCUCAUCCUCAUAGGUAGGAUAGGGAUGAGACAUGAGUGUUGUCAUGUGGCAUUUCUCGAACAAGAGCUGAACGUCUUCCAAGAUGCCUAACUCCGCCAUUGUCUCCGGGUGAGGAUAUCUUGUUCCCCAAAACGGAUUUCUUUUGAGAGCCUUGUAGUAGUCUCCCGGCGUCAGCUUGUCUUCUUUCAUUAGGGACUUGGUGGUCUUGCGGGUUUGCUCUGGAAUGUACUCCGCAUCAUCUUCCAUCUCUUCAUCAAUUAGCUCAUAAUUUUCCGUCAUUGACCUCUUCCCUCUGGCUAUCUCUUCUCUUCUCCUGUCAUUGGCGACUGCUCGCUCUGUUUCCUCCACAAAUCGCCUAUACUCAUCUGCUUCUCUCUUUGGCCUAGUUGACCAAGAUUCAACAUCAUCAACAUUGUAGUCGGCAUCCAUAGAUGAUUCGUAGCUGUGUGAACUCAUCUUGAAGCUGAAAUCGAUUUGAAACUCACAACUAAAGCUCAGUAGGUUAGUGAGAAACAAACAAAGACAAUGAAAGAAAUGACUUCCUAUUGAUAUAGAGUUGUGAUCGAGUAGAAUUUGAUAGUGAGAGCUCAGGUCGCGAUCGAGUGAAGCAAGCAAAUGAGAGACAGGGUUGCGAUAGAGUAGUUUCUGAGGUUCUGUUUUAGUCAAUAACAGCUAGCAACAACGAAAGAGUUGAGAGCGUUUUUGGUAGUGAAGUAGAGAGAUAAACAAGAGAGAUGUUUUGAAAUCACAAGUGAUGAAGAAAAGUGAAGAGUGAUGACACUUAUCUCCCUUUGCGAUUUGAAUGAGUGGAGGAGGUGUGUUGCUUUUAAACGGACGGAUGGGAUGCAAUGCCCGUUAUGAUGUCGGCAACGUGAUAAGGUGACAAAACAUGGUGCUUUAUGUCGGCAGGAUGGGGUUCCUUCAAGUCACGCGCCUUGUGAUCGAGUAUGGGUUGUUGAUCCUUUAAUUUCGUGUCAUGGGCUACAAUUGGACACAGCAUGGGCUUUUUGGAGUUUUGGUGGAGAUUGAAAUCCAGUAGGCUUAAUGGGACUGAGGUUUGUCAUUGACGUUCUGUGGACACUUUCACUCCUCCUUGCGAUCUAGUAGAAAAUUGUUAUCCCGAAUCUACUAUAUCGCACUCCUGAGCUUUCACUCCUAUGUUGUGAUCGAGUAUUUGAAAAAAAAUUUGGAAAAUUUUCAUUUUAACACUCGAUCACAUCCUUGUUGAUCACUCCAGCUGUUAUUCAUUUCCUGAGAAUCAAAGACACAACCAAAACGAAUCAAAAGUAACAAAUAAAUAAAAAGUAUAUACAGGGAUAGUCAUGGGACUUCCUCCCAAGUGAGCUUGUUUAGAGUCUCUAGCUUGACUCCUCACACUAAUCAAGUGGAGAAAAUGUGACAGAGGGAACUUGAGAAGUCCUCCUCUUCACUGAUAUCAUCAUCAUACUCAGCAUCCUCCCUUGACAGUUGCACAGCUGAGUACUCAAUUCUUCUUUCCUCAUAGUAUGCUGCUUCCUCCUCUGGAGGGUAGUCUUUCUCUUCUGACCAAUCCCAGGUGAUCUCCUUUCUUGAAAUCGUGUCAUGGUUGAGCUGGGGCUGAACCUCCUUUUGCAUUCGACUUAGUUUGUCUCUAAGCUUUUCAACAGUGUAGCUCAGCUUCUGAAUGGUUCUGUUCUAUAGAUCAGUCUUCCUUUUGAGUUCCAGCCAAUCAAGUGAGGAGGGUAUACUCGAUCGAGUAGUCGAGUUCGAUGGCGGAGUUUGAACCGAAAUUUGCUCCUUCCCUCUUUUGAUCUCAAGGCCUUCACUUGGAUCCGCUCUCUGGACCUCUAAGGUUUUUCCUUCUAUUGGUGGCCUUGUCGGAAAUUUGUUGAUGUCAAACUGUAACUUGACAUGCCUCCCAAGGUUGAGAUCAAUCUUACCAUAUCUGACAUCUAUUACUGCUCCCACUGAGGCUAAGAAAGGUCUUCCUAAGAUCAAAGGAUCCUUAGACUCUUCAUCCAUUUCAAGCACGACAAAAUCAGUGGGUACCUCAACUCCAUCUAUCAUUACUGGUACGUUCUCUAGAAUGCUGAAAGGUCUCCUUGAAGUUCUAUCAGCAAGGAUCAAAGUGAUGUCACAGGGCUUAUACUGAAUGAAUCCCAGCUUCCUUGCCACAGAGAGUGGCAUUAAACUGACUGAGGCUCCUAGAUCACAUAGACAAUUGUUGAAAGUCAAUUGCCUAAUCGAACAUGGCAGAGUGAAAGAUCCAGGAUCUUCCAGCUUCUCUUGAAUAAUCCUCUCACCAGCGGCUUGAUGCAUAAUGACAUCGUCUUCGUCAUCUGAAUCCUGAUAUAUGUUGAGCCUUUCCAGUAUCAGGUUUCUCACAUCUUUGUGAGGGUCUGAAAUCAACUUGAGAACUUCUACUAAGGGCAUCACAGCUUCCAUCUCACCAAGUUGUUUUUCUGCCAGAGAUUCAUAUCUGCUUUUCCAAGCUUUCCUGAACGUCCAUGGAAGAGCAAGUGAGGGUGAUGGAGCUGGCUUGAAUCGUUUCACCAUCCUCUCGAUUAUAGCAGCCUUCUCCUCCAAGUCAGACUGAGCCUGAAAGAAAGGUUGAGCUGAAUAGUCGAUCUCAGCAACAGAGACUUCAAUCUGAGUGGAAGCCUCCCCUUCUUGAAUUACGCUGUCCUCAGUGUUUGAUGUAGAGACAUGUUGAGUUGGCAGGCUCUCGCUCAUGUCUGAUAGUGAUUGCGUGUGCAGUGGCGUACUCCUUAGGGUUUUGGAUUGCUUUUCCUGGAAGCUGGCCUGGGUUGUUUGUAACAGGUGGUGAAGUAGUGACGCCGUCCAGAUACCGUACCCUUGUGUUCAAUGAUUCCAACCUGCUACUCAGUUCAUUGAACUGUCUGUCAACUUUGUUGUUUAAGUCAGCUAUCUUCUUAGCAGAUUCCCAUUACCCCUGCGGCUUGACCUUGCAUGAUCUGUUGGAGCAUAUUCUUGAUGUCUGAUUCCUGGGGUGCAGAGGCCUGAUGUUGUUGUGGUGUGAAACCAGGUGGUGGCUGUUGCUGUUGAUACCCUCCUUGGAACUGUUGCUUAGGAACGAACCCUAGGCUUUGGUUGUAAGUAACAAACGGUUUGGGUUGGUUCUGCUGCAGCUGCUGUUGAAGGUAAACUUGGUCCUGAGGAUUGGCGACAUUUGUGCUUCUGUAUGACAGAUUUGGGUUGGGUCUGUAAUUGUUGUACCCUUUGUUGGAGCCGCCUUGGUUCUGAACAUAACUGAUUUCAGCGCCCUGAUCAUUCUCCCCCUCUUGGAUUUGGAAUACUUCGUCUUCAGAGGCGAAGUGAACAUGCUUCUGCUGCACUUGGAGGAGUUUGUCGAUUUUGUCAUGGAGAGCUUUAAUCUCUCGGCGGUGCUUGUCAUCAGAUUCAGUACUGGUGCAGAUGCUUCUGUCAUAAUCCUCAUUGUAAUUGCCAUCCGACUGAGCCAAGUUUUCAACUAGCUCCCAUCCGUCUUCGACAUCCUUGUUCAGGAAAUUCCCGUUGGAGGCGGUGUCAAGGAGCAUACGUAUCUUAGGCAGGACGCCUCUGUAAAGUGUGCUGAGAAGAGAUGCUUCCUUAAAUCCGUGAUGAGGGCAUUUGGUUGGAUAACCCUUAAAGCGCUCCCAAGCUUCACAGAAGCUUUCAUUUUGCUUCUGAGUGAAUCCGGAUAUCUCGUUCCGGAGUCUUGCAGUCCUGGAGUUGGAGAAGAAUUUUGCCAAGAAGGCCUUUUUGCAGUCAUCCCAGGUCGUGAUUGAUCCAUGGGGUAGCGUUUUUUCCCACAGAUGGGCUUUAUCUCCAAGUGAAAAUGGGAACAAGCGAAGCUUGAAACCAUCUUCACUAACUCCAUUGAUUUUAGUAAGGCGACAGAGCCU